Molecule: long non-coding RNA, 375 nt
Filed under: Elaeis guineensis (African oil palm)
Lineage: Eukaryota; Viridiplantae; Streptophyta; Magnoliopsida; Arecales; Arecaceae
Description: long non-coding RNA (EGUI_LNC035991)
Source: RNAcentral
GUCGACUGCCAUAGAAACUCGGAUGGGGUCUGGCUACUGUAGAAGUCCUACUGUUGGAGAAGCUCGAACAUUGACGAAGUCCGGAAGAAGUUCGGUUGGGAUCUAGCUCUUGUAGAAGCUCGAACAGUCGGAGGAGGUUCAGAAAGACGCCACGCAAGGUCGGAAGCUGGAAAAGCCCCAGAAGGGUCGGCCUUUUACAAACUCGACUAGGGAUAUUUUAUACCCAAUAAUGUCAUAAUAUGGGAGGGAUAUUUUUGUUCAACCAUUUUUUAAUACGUAUUUAAUGCUUGCAGUUCUAUUUUUUUAUUUGAAAUUUUGAAUAACAAAAAUAUCUCUGCUCUUUGGAAAAGAUUAUAAUAUCUUAUGGCAUAUUAU